CCAUACACAAGGCAGAAGAUCUGUGGUGCCACGACUGGCACCAGGACAGCAGGCUCCUGGGCUAUAAACACAGCCAGGGUGGGGGAGGUCUUUGGAAAAUUCUUCUCUGAGGGGCAGAGAAGAUCCUUCCUCCAGACAGCAAUGCUGGCGAUCCACGACCCCCUGCUGCGUGUCAGCCAGGCUGGGCUGCUCCUCACAUACUCCAUCCUGGGGGAAGACCAGCAGCUGCUGGGGGACAAGCUGGAGGAUGUCACAGCCAAGGUGAUGUGCCAGCUCCGCAUCAUCCGGCACUUGCACCAGGUGCCUGAGGCGCUGCAAGGGCUGCGCCUCAUCUGAUGCCCUUAAAGGUUCCCCUCCCAUGUUCAGCAACU
Long non-coding RNA from Mauremys mutica (yellowpond turtle), 371 nucleotides. RefSeq lists it as uncharacterized. Lineage: Eukaryota; Metazoa; Chordata; Testudines; Geoemydidae. The record is from RefSeq and is a predicted model, not a curated record. The transcript is spliced from 3 exons.